CCGGCGAUGUCCGAAUGGGGAAACCCAGUGCAAUUCGUUGCACUAUCGUUAACUGAAUACAUAGGUUAACGAGGCGAACCGGGGGAACUGAAACAUCUAAGUACCCCGAGGAAAAGAAAUCAACCGAGAUUCCCCCAGUAGCGGCGAGCGAACGGGGAGCAGCCCAGAGUCUGAAUCAGCUUGUGUGUUAGUGGAACGGUCUGGAAAGUCCGACGGUACAGGGUGAUAGUCCCGUACACCAAAAUGCACAGGUUGUGAACUCGAAGAGUAGGGCGGGACACGUGGUAUCCUGUCUGAAUAUGGGGGGACCAUCCUCCAAGGCUAAAUACUCCUGACUGACCGAUAGUGAACCAGUACCGUGAGGGAAAGGCGAAAAGAACCCCGGCGAGGGGAGUGAAAAAGAACCUGAAACCGUGUACGUACAAGCAGUGGGAGCACCUUCGGGUGUGACUGCGUACCUUUUGUAUAAUGGGUCAGCGACUUAUAUUCUGUAGCAAGGUUAACCGUAUAGGGGAGCCGCAGGGAAACCGAGUCUUAACUGGGCGUUAAGUUGCAGGGUAUAGACCCGAAACCCGGUGAUCUAGCCAUGGGCAGGUUGAAGGUUGGGUAACACUAACUGGAGGACCGAACCGACUAAUGUUGAAAAAUUAGCGGAUGACUUGUGGCUGGGGGUGAAAGGCCAAUCAAACCGGGAGAUAGCUGGUUCUCCCCGAAAGCUAUUUAGGUAGCGCCUCGUGAACUCAUCUUCGGGGGUAGAGCACUGUUUCGGCUAGGGGGUCAUCCCGACUUACCAACCCGAUGCAAACUACGAAUACCGAAGAAUGUUAUCACGGGAGACACACGGCGGGUGCUAACGUCCGUCGUGAAGAGGGAAACAACCCAGACCGCCAGCUAAGGUCCCAAAGUCAUGGUUAAGUGGGAAACGAUGUGGGAAGGCACAGACAGCCAGGAUGUUGGCUUAGAAGCAGCCAUCAUUUAAAGAAAGCGUAAUAGCUCACUGGUCGAGUCGGCCUGCGCGGAAGAUGUAACGGGGCUAAACCAUGCACCGAAGCUGCGGCAGCGACACUAUGUGUUGUUGGGUAGGGGAGCGUUCUGUAAGCCUGCGAAGGUGUGCUGUGAGGCAUGCUGGAGGUAUCAGAAGUGCGAAUGCUGACAUAAGUAACGAUAAAGCGGGUGAAAAGCCCGCUCGCCGGAAGACCAAGGGUUCCUGUCCAACGUUAAUCGGGGCAGGGUGAGUCGACCCCUAAGGCGAGGCCGAAAGGCGUAGUCGAUGGGAAACAGGUUAAUAUUCCUGUACUUGGUGUUACUGCGAAGGGGGGACGGAGAAGGCUAUGUUAGCCGGGCGACGGUUGUCCCGGUUUAAGCAUGUAGGCUGGUUGUCCAGGCAAAUCCGGAUAAUCAAGGCUGAGGUGUGAUGACGAGGCACUACGGUGCUGAAGUAACAAAUGCCCUGCUUCCAGGAAAAGCCUCUAAGCAUCAGGUAACAUUAAAUCGUACCCCAAACCGACACAGGUGGUCAGGUAGAGAAUACCAAGGCGCUUGAGAGAACUCGGGUGAAGGAACUAGGCAAAAUGGUGCCGUAACUUCGGGAGAAGGCACGCUGGUGUGUAGGUGAAGUCCCUGCGGAUGGAGCUGAGACCAGUCGAAGAUACCAGCUGGCUGCAACUGUUUAUUAAAAACACAGCACUGUGCAAACACGAAAGUGGACGUAUACGGUGUGACGCCUGCCCGGUGCCGGAAGGUUAAUUGAUGGGGUUAUCCGUAAGGAGAAGCUCUUGAUCGAAGCCCCGGUAAACGGCGGCCGUAACUAUAACGGUCCUAAGGUAGCGAAAUUCCUUGUCGGGUAAGUUCCGACCUGCACGAAUGGCGUAAUGAUGGCCAGGCUGUCUCCACCCGAGACUCAGUGAAAUUGAACUCGCUGUGAAGAUGCAGUGUACCCGCGGCAAGACGGAAAGACCCCGUGAACCUUUACUAUAGCUUGACACUGAACAUUGAGCCUUGAUGUGUAGGAUAGGUGGGAGGCUUUGAAGCGUGGACGCCAGUCUGCGUGGAGCCAACCUUGAAAUACCACCCUUUAAUGUUUGAUGUUCUAACGUUGGCCCCUUACCGGGGUUGCGGACAGUGUCUGGUGGGUAGU
Molecule: ribosomal RNA, 2137 nt
Filed under: Klebsiella pneumoniae
Lineage: Bacteria; Pseudomonadati; Pseudomonadota; Gammaproteobacteria; Enterobacterales; Enterobacteriaceae
Description: partial 23S ribosomal RNA
Rfam family: Bacterial large subunit ribosomal RNA
Source: RNAcentral